GCUUCGGUAGCUCAGUUGGUAGAGCAGUGGACUGAAAAUCCUCGUGUCGGCGGUUCGAUUCCGCCCUGAAGCA
This 73-nucleotide transfer RNA is filed under the name Stenotrophomonas phage vB_SmaS-DLP_6. It matches the Rfam family "tRNA". From Rfam's summary of the family: Transfer RNA (tRNA) molecules are approximately 80 nucleotides in length. Their secondary structure includes four short double-helical elements and three loops (D, anti-codon, and T loops). Lineage: Duplodnaviria; Heunggongvirae; Uroviricota; Caudoviricetes. The record is from Rfam by way of RNAcentral.